UAACUAUAUUUUUUUCACAUCUAUUAACCACACAGCUUUUGUGCUGAUGGGUUUCAGCCUGGUUCACACCCAGUCGACCUCACACACAUGGUCUAGGAAGUAAAGAAAUAUUCUACAAACUUCUACUCGCUCACAAGCCAAACGCAGCCAAGCGGCAGAGAACCAGGACCUUCCUUCAUCAGAAAAUAUAUCGACGCCUCAUCAUCAUGACCCCUGUAACGGCUCCUGCUGAUUCCCAGCUCUUCCGAUGCUCAGCUUUUCUGAAAGGCGAGCCCAAAGCACUGGGGACUGUGCACAUCAUGAUCGGAAGCUUGACUUUCUUGUUCGGUAUUGUUUUUAACUCGUUCAUUCUAACACCCAUGGCCAUCAGUGGUACCACUUUGUGGGGAUCUCUGGUCUUCGUUAGUUGUGGUGCUUUAUCAGUCGCUACAGCCAAAAAGCAUGAUCCAUGCAUGGUAUGUAAACACGGCUUACUAAUAAUUUCUUAACUUAAUGUUUUUAAUUUUCCAGUAAAUCAUCUAUCACUGUGUUUGUGUGGUUGUAAAGCUGUGGAAAGAAAGUAAACAUCCAGUUCAGAAACAUUGAUGGUUGUUGAGUGAGAAAGAACAGAUGUGGAACUGCACAGUGGUUGUAGCAGACUGCUCAUAGUGUAGCAUUAGGAUAACAUAAACCACUUCCUGACAAGUCCUUUAUAUAUUUAACCCUUAUACAUACAAGCAAACUUGCAAAAAAAAUUUUUCUUAAU
Long non-coding RNA from Tachysurus fulvidraco (yellow catfish), 745 nucleotides. RefSeq lists it as uncharacterized. Lineage: Eukaryota; Metazoa; Chordata; Actinopteri; Siluriformes; Bagridae. The record is from RefSeq and is a predicted model, not a curated record. The transcript has 4 exons.